GACGAACGCUGGCGGCGUGCCUAAUACAUGCAAGUCGAACGCUGAAGGAGGAGCUUGCUCUUCUGGAUGAGUUGCGAACGGGUGAGUAACGCGUAGGUAACCUGCCUGGUAGCGGGGGAUAACUAUUGGAAACGAUAGCUAAUACCGCAUAACAGUAGAUGUUGCAUGACAUUUGCUUAAAAGGUGCAAUUGCACCACUACCAGAUGGACCUGCGUUGUAUUAGCUAGUUGGUGGGGUAACGGCUCACCAAGGCGACGAUACAUAGCCGACCUGAGAGGGUGAUCGGCCACACUGGGACUGAGACACGGCCCAGACUCCUACGGGAGGCAGCAGUAGGGAAUCUUCGGCAAUGGACGGAAGUCUGACCGAGCAACGCCGCGUGAGUGAAGAAGGUUUUCGGAUCGUAAAGCUCUGUUGUAAGAGAAGAACGAGUGUGAGAGUGGAAAGUUCACACUGUGACGGUAGCUUACCAGAAAGGGACGGCUAACUACGUG
This 495-nucleotide ribosomal RNA is filed under the name uncultured bacterium. Its description in RNAcentral is "partial 16S ribosomal RNA". It matches the Rfam family "Bacterial small subunit ribosomal RNA", at positions 28 to 507 of the family's 1533-position model. The record is from RNAcentral.